Long non-coding RNA from Bicyclus anynana (squinting bush brown), 1198 nucleotides. RefSeq lists it as uncharacterized. The transcript has 3 exons. Lineage: Eukaryota; Metazoa; Arthropoda; Insecta; Lepidoptera; Nymphalidae. The record is from RefSeq and is a predicted model, not a curated record.
AUGGUGGCGUUGCUGUAGCUGUUUUUUGUUCGCGAAUAUUUCUGUUUUGUGUUCGUCGAAAACAAGAACUUUUAAAAUUAGAACUUAAUCGUGUGCAAGUGCUUUUGUUAAUAAAAGUUAAUUAAUCUUUAAAACAAGUGCUAAAACGUUGCGUAAGAGGGAAAUCAUCACCGGUGCUUCACAAAAAAUCGCUGGCAUCAGCGUUUUGGGAGGAAGAUCAAUAGUUCCAUUCGUUUUAUGGGAUUGAUAAAACCUGACGAUCCCACAAUACCAGUUCCUAAAAGCCUUGAAGACCUUUGGAAGCUUAUGAAUUGCGGAAGUUGAUAAAUCCAUCAAAGUCCUUCCGUCAUCCUACAUCCUGUCCAUUUCCAAGCAGUGAACUACCAAAUCAAACUGAUCAUAUCUUUAGAAAAAUUAGGCUGCAGACAAAUAAGGCAUAUUUGUAAUCACUCUAAUAUAUGAUCAUUAUUAUCAUAUCAGCCGAUGGACCGUCUACUGCAGUUUGGACAUCCAAACAUCACGAUCCUGAGCCGCAUGCAUUCCUUGCAUUUCUGAUAUCUGAUAAGAAAUCUAAAACUAAGGAUAUUAUUAAUAAUUAUUCAGACACUAAAAAUAAUUUAAGUUCGCACAUCGUGGACGUUGGGGUCCCAAGAUGCUGGAAUGGCGACUCCGCACCGGAAAGCGCAUUGUUGGUCGACCCCCCACUAGAUGGACCAAGGACAUCAAGCGGGCUGCAGGAAGCCGCUUGAUGCUGACGGCUCGAGACCGUGAUGUUUGGAAGUCUAUACAAAGAGGCCAUGAAUAUGUGUCCAGCAGUGGACGCCCAUCGGCUGAUGAUGAUGAUGAUGAUGACACUAAAAUAACUUUGUAUCAAAGUAUAAUAUUAACAGUAUGUAAUUCAAUUAAAGCAGUUCACGGUUAAAACUCACGUAACUUUAUUGACUUGUAACCUAAUAUCGCUGACGACAGUUUAAAAUCUGAAGUUCGUGUUACAUAAAGUAAAUAUAAUGUAGGUAUAUUACCUGAUAUUGUCACAAAGUUAGCGUUGCCAUGACGACAGGCUGCCAUACUUUAGUCGAGAGGCGGAACGUUAUGCCUCACUUGGUUCAGGUCGGGGAGGAAUAUUUACUGCCUUGCCUUAGUCGCGAUAAAGUAUACUUACUUUGUAACGUUUUUUAUCCACUCAGUGUUUGUUCCG